Molecule: ribosomal RNA, 1701 nt
Filed under: Triticum aestivum (bread wheat)
Lineage: Eukaryota; Viridiplantae; Streptophyta; Magnoliopsida; Poales; Poaceae
Description: partial small subunit ribosomal RNA
Source: RNAcentral
AUGAAGGAGAUGCAAAUUACCAGUGCUAUUGCUGCUGCUGUCAUCGAAGAAGCAAAGGAGAAGAUGAAGAAAAUAGUAUCGGAAGAGGUUGAGACGGCCACUGAAGUUGCAGCUGCCAUCAAAGAAACCAAGCGAAAGAUGUAUCAGUUCCUGUGGAAGAUUGUGGGUCAGCUUCGUAUCAAAGUGCUAGUGGACAAGAUUAAGCCGCAUCUGGAAAACAAGAAGACCCUGAUUAUCCUCCAAGAUGACCAAGACUAUGUUUCAGCCGGAUCCCGGUGGGAGGAGACCAGAAAUGCUUUGAAACUGUUAGGGUGCAGAGCAGUGAUUGUGUCCACAAAGAACAGCCAAAAGGCCACAGAAUUUUGCCAUCCACCGGGAGUAGAGCCAAUAACUUAUUCCCUAGUUGGACUCUACCAUGAUACUGUGCUUGAGCUUACAAAGGCACGGAUGAAUAAGGGAAAUGACGGCUACACCCCAAACAUUCUCCGUGAAAUCUUGGCCAAGUGUCAUCCACAUGAGUUCUGCAUGAAGAUCUUCACGUACGCUCUUUAUGCUAAUCCCAAUAGGAGCUAUGAAGAACUGUGCAAGUUACAUGAAGAUCUGGUUCCCCACAAGACAUUUGGCAGUAAAGCUAAGAAGAUGAUCAAGUUCUCCUACAAAGAUCUGCCUAGAGAACACAAGACUUGCUUGCUGUACCUAGCCAUCUUCCCUCAAGGCCAAAACAUCAAAAGGUCUACCUUAAUAGGACGAUGGGUUACGGAGGGGUUGAUAACUAAGCAAGACUGGGCCACCGCAGUGCAUCAUGCCGAGCAAUGUUUUGACACUCUGAUUGAACGGGGGCUUCUUUUUCCUCAUGAAAUUGGUGCUGCAGGAAAGGUCAAGAGCUGCAUUUUAGGUGAUCAAGUCCAUGGCUUUAUCACCAAGGUUGCAAGUAAGGAGCACAUUUUGGAUGCACGCCUGUCAGAUCUUUGGGCUCGGCAUUUCUCCAUCUUUAGUGGUCUCCGACUCCGUGCCUCUGAUGGCAUCGAUAACUUUGUACACAAGCUCCCCAAAUAUUCACCUCAAUUGCCGCUGCUCAAGGUGCUAGAUCUGGAAGGCACUAAAUGCUUUGAGAAAAAUCACUACCUCAGGGACAUUUGCAACAAGAUAUUACUUCUCAAGUAUCUGAGCCUAAGAAGAACAAAUGUUAGAUAUCUUCCCAGUGAAAUAAACAACCUCCAUGAGCUAGAGGUAUUGGAUAUCCGGCAAACUAUGGUACCUGAGCGUGCAACAAGGGAUGUCCUGCUCCUGAAGCUGAGGCGCUUCUUGGCUAACCGCGUUGAUCCAAAUCCAGGACUCAAUGAUAAGUCGCCACACUUUCCUGUCCAGAUUCCUUCCAAAAUUGAAAAAAUGGAAAAUUUGGAGGUACUAUCAAGUGUCAAGGCUUCAGGGGAUGGCCGUGAGUUGAAAGAGAUAAAAAAUCUAUGGCAAUUAAGGAAGCUCGGUGUGGUUAUUGAAGACAGGGUCAUUCACCUCACGAGGUUGCUUCAAGCGAUCAGUGACCUAAAAGAUUGCCUUCGAUCUCUUUCAGUCACCAUAUCAUGCAACACCAGAACUAAGAGCAUUCUAUCCAGCAAAGAGGGGCAUGCAAUAGAUGUGCACCGUUGGUUAAGACAAACUCCCAAGCAUCAACGGAGUCACAGAAAAGGUGCAGCUUCUUGA